Beta vulgaris subsp. vulgaris (sugar beet) is the source of this 689-nucleotide long non-coding RNA. RefSeq lists it as uncharacterized. Lineage: Eukaryota; Viridiplantae; Streptophyta; Magnoliopsida; Caryophyllales; Amaranthaceae. The transcript is spliced from 2 exons. The record is from RefSeq and is a predicted model, not a curated record.
UCCAACCAACAACAAUUCAUCUGUUCACAUUCAACACCCUCCCCCCUUCUUUCAACCCAAAACUCCAAACCUUAAAAACCCUAUCUUCUAGUAAUCUUUGCCCUUUCUCUAGUCAUCUUCUACUCUCUACUUAGAUCCUUCUAUCCCUUCAUAUUUCCACCAAAAAGCAACAAUGAUAAACACCCAAUUGCUGAAGGACGCAGUCGCUGCUGCAAAGACGAAGGAGCGAGGAGAGCUUUCUUCGCAGAAAUCUCGCGAUUUCUAUUUCGGAUGGGAGUCCAUACUCUUGGAAGAUGUUUUACUCCGAUGAAGCAUCCAACCUAUUAAGAAAAAACUCUUUUAAAUCCUUGGAGAAGGUGAUGAAUACUGAAUACAGAUGAGGAAAUGUUCAACACUCCUCCUUCUUUAAAACUACCCUCGGUAGCUGUUCACCAAGGACGAAUGCGGGAUCAUCAGUUUCUCCAUCCUACAUGCUGGCCAAACGAAAGAUAUUCGGAUUUUUUUGCUUUUUUUUGGGACUAUACAUAUAGAUGUGCAUCUCUUAAAUUAAUAUGGAGGUGUGUAUGUAGUUGCUAGAUGUAAUUGUAGUUUUUUUAGAGAAAUAAUAGAACACUCAAAGUAGGAAGAGGAGGAGAUCGAAACUGUUUCUCAAGUUUGUAAAUGUUUAUGUAGGUGCUUGGUUUUCGAAA